GACGAACGCUGGCGGCGUGCUUAACACAUGCAAGUCGAACGGAAAGGCCCUGCUUUUGUGGGGUGCUCGAGUGGCGAACGGGUGAGUAACACGUGUGUAACCUGCCCUUGACUUUGGGAUAACUCCAGGAAACUGGGGCUAAUACCGGAUAGGAGCUCCUGCUGCAUGGUGGGGGUUGGAAAGUUUCGGCGGUUUGGGAUGGACUCGCGGCUUAUCAGCUUGUUGGUGGGGUAGUGGUUUACCAAGGCUUUGACGGGUAGCCGGCCUGAGAGGGUGACCGGCCACAUUGGGACUGCGGUACGGCCCAGACGCCUACGGGAGGCAGCAGUGGGGAAUAUUGCACAAUGGGCGGAAGCGUGAGGCAGCAACGCCGCGUGCGGGAUGCCGGCCUUCGGGUUGUAAACCGCUUUCGCCUGUGACGAAGCGUGAGUGACGGUAAUGGGUAAAGAAGCACCGGCUAACUACGUG
RNAcentral lists this ribosomal RNA (468 nucleotides) under uncultured bacterium. RNAcentral's name for it is "partial 16S ribosomal RNA". It matches the Rfam family "Bacterial small subunit ribosomal RNA", at positions 28 to 507 of the family's 1533-position model. The record is from RNAcentral.